This 253-nucleotide ribosomal RNA is filed under the name uncultured bacterium. RNAcentral's name for it is "partial 16S ribosomal RNA". It matches the Rfam family "Bacterial small subunit ribosomal RNA", at positions 524 to 776 of the family's 1533-position model. The record is from RNAcentral.
UACGUAGGGUGCUAGCGUUGUUCGGAAUCAUUGGGCGUAAAGCGAGUGCAGGCUGUUAGUUAAGUCGGAUGUGAAAUCCCUGGGCUCAACCGAGGAAGUGCAUUCGAAACUAACUAGCUAGAAGAUGGUAGAGGAAGGUGGAAUUCCAAGUGUAGAGGUGAAAUUCGUAGAUAUUUGGAGGAAUACCGGUGGCGAAGGCGGCCUUCUGGACCAUUCUUGACGCUGAGACUCGAAAGCGUGGGUAGCAAACAGG